Molecule: ribosomal RNA, 449 nt
Filed under: uncultured bacterium
Lineage: Bacteria
Description: partial 16S ribosomal RNA
Rfam family: Bacterial small subunit ribosomal RNA
Source: RNAcentral
AACGAACGCUGGCGGCAUGCCUAACACAUGCAAGUCGAACGAGACCUUCGGGUCUAGUGGCGCACGGGUGCAUAACGCGUGGGAAUCUGCCCUUGGGUUCGGGAUAACAGUUGGAAACGACUGCUAAUACCGGAUGAUGUCUUCGGACCAAAGAUUUAUCGCCCAAGGAUGAGCCCGCGUAGGAUUAGCUUGUUGGUGAGGUAAGAGCUCACCAAGGCGACGAUCCUUAGCCGGUCUGAGAGGAUGAUCAGCCACACUGGGACUGAGACACGGCCCAGACUCCUACGGGAGGCAGCAGUGGGGAAUAUUGGACAAUGGGCGAAAGCCUGAUCCAGCAAUGCCGCGUGAGUGAUGAAGGCCUUAGGGUUGUAAAGCUCUUUUACCCGGGAUGAUAAUGACAGUACCGGGAGAAUAAGCCCCGGCUAACUCCGUGCCAGCCGCCGCGGUAA